CAUCUGAGUUAAUUUUAACAAACACCUUAAUUUAUAAAGAGCUAUAAAUACAAUUCCAUCAGUGGAGGUAGCGAUGAUAUCUGAAGAGAGAUGCUGUGGUGAGAAUUGGUAUUCUGACCUUCACUGGACACCUCCAGAACCCCAAAGAGUCUUUUCUUCAUAAGCCAAAUCCUAGAAGCCAUGUCCUCUAUAACAGCAGAAGUGCAGCAGGCCAAGAUGAUAGAAACUGAAGAAGCAUGUUGAAUGCCACAUGCCCUGGCUUUUGCUGCUAGGAAACUGGGAACAGCAGGAAGCCAUGUUGCAUCACAUUCACACUUGAAACAAAACAGGAAGAAGUUCUACCGCCUCGAAGCACGUAUAAACAAGCAGAGACAACUCUUCUACUCUCUUCAGUGUCCUGCGUCUAUACAACCCAAGACAAUGGCUCCCCUCGGAGUACUGUGAGUCCUCUGUACUGAAUAAUGCCUCUUCAUUUUGGGAACUACCUGCUCCCCCAGGAGACCCAAGGCUCUCCAAGGUAUCACCUGUGGAAAAGGAUCAUUUUUGCCUGAGCAUAAUCAAAUGCAUAUGCAUGUACACAUACAUAUACAUGAG
Molecule: long non-coding RNA, 594 nt
Filed under: Rattus norvegicus (Norway rat)
Lineage: Eukaryota; Metazoa; Chordata; Mammalia; Rodentia; Muridae
Description: long non-coding RNA NONRATT032566
Source: RNAcentral